CAGUCAAAAUGACUGUGAUGUGUAGAUUUAAGUCAUAUCACAGCCAUUUUUGACGAGUU
RNAcentral lists this microRNA precursor (59 nucleotides) under Blattella germanica (German cockroach). RNAcentral's name for it is "Bge-Mir-2-P2b_pre stem-loop". The stretch from base 3 to 54 matches the Rfam family "mir-2 microRNA precursor family", at positions 7 to 64 of the family's 72-position model. Rfam says of the family: The miRNAs are transcribed as ~70nt precursors (modelled here) and subsequently processed by the Dicer enzyme to give a ~22nt product. In this case the mature sequence comes from the 3' arm of the precursor. The extents of the hairpin precursors are not generally known and are estimated based on hairpin prediction. The record is from RNAcentral. Lineage: Eukaryota; Metazoa; Arthropoda; Insecta; Blattodea; Blattellidae.